AACGAACGCUGGCGGCAUGCCUAACACAUGCAAGUCGAACGAGACCUUCGGGUCUAGUGGCGCACGGGUGCGUAACGCGUGGGAACCUGCCCUUAGGUUCGGAAUAACUCCCCGAAAGGGGUGCUAAUACCGGAUAAUGUCUUCGGACCAAAGAUUUAUCGCCUUUGGAUGGGCCCGCGUUGGAUUAGCUAGUUGGUAGGGUAAAAGCCUACCAAGGCGACGAUCCAUAGCUGGUCUGAGAGGAUGAGCAGCCACACUGGGACUGAGACACGGCCCAGACUCCUACGGGAGGCAGCAGUGGGGAAUAUUGGACAAUGGGCGAAAGCCUGAUCCAGCAAGGCCGGGUGAGUGAUGAAGGCCUGAGGGUUGUAAAGCUCUUUUACCCGGGAUGAUAAUGACAGUACCGGGAGAAUAAGCUCCGGCUAACUCCGUG
This 433-nucleotide ribosomal RNA is filed under the name uncultured bacterium. Its description in RNAcentral is "partial 16S ribosomal RNA". It matches the Rfam family "Bacterial small subunit ribosomal RNA", at positions 29 to 507 of the family's 1533-position model. The record is from RNAcentral.